UGGGGAAUAUUGGACAAUGGGCGAAAGCCUGAUCCAGCAAUGCCGCGUGUGUGAAGAAGGUCUUCGGAUUGUAAAGCACUUUCGACGGGGACGAUGAUGACGGUACCCGUAGAAGAAGCCCCGGCUAACUUCGUGCCAGCAGCCGCGGUAAUACGAAGGGGGCUAGCGUUGCUCGGAAUGACUGGGCGUAAAGGGCGCGUAGGCGGAUGGCACAGUCAGAUGUGAAAUUCCUGGGCUUAACCUGGGGGCUGCAUUUGAUACGUGUGAUCUAGAGUGAGGAAGAGGGUCGUGGAAUUCCCAGUGUAGAGGUGAAAUUCGUAGAUAUUGGGAAGAACACCGGUGGCGAAGGCGGCGACCUGGUCCUUUACUGACGCUGAGGCGCGAAAGCGUGGGGAGCAAACAGGAUUAGAUACCCUGGUAGUCCACGCUGUAAACGAUGUGUGCUGGAUGUUGGGCGACCUAGUCGCUCAGUGUCGUAGCUAACGCGAUAAGCACACCGCCUGGGGAGUACGGCCGCAAGGU
This 522-nucleotide ribosomal RNA is filed under the name uncultured bacterium. Its description in RNAcentral is "bacterial SSU rRNA". It matches the Rfam family "Bacterial small subunit ribosomal RNA", at positions 355 to 894 of the family's 1533-position model. The record is from RNAcentral.